AUUGAACGCUGGCGGUAUGCUUAACACAUGCAAGUCGAACGAUGAGAAAGAGCUUGCUCUUUCGAUUAGUGGCGGACGGGUGCGUAACGCGUAGGAAUCUACCUAUUAAUGGGGGACAACUUAGGGAAACUUAAGCUAAUACCGCAUACGCCCUACGGGGGAAAGAAGGGGAUCGCAAAACCUUUUGCUAAUAGAUGAGCCUGCGUAGGAUUAGCUAGUUGGUGGGGUAAAAGCUCACCAAGGCGACGAUCCUUAACUGGUUUGAGAGAAUGAUCAGUCACCCUGGAACUGAGACACGGUCCGGACUCCUACGGGAGGCAGCGGUGGGGAAUAUUGGACGAAGGGCGAAAGCCUGAUCCAGCAAUACCGCGUGUGUGAAGAAGGCCAUAGGGUUGUAAAGCACUUUCAAUUGGAAGGAAAACCUCGAAGCUAAUACCUUCGAGUUUGACAUUACCUUUAGAAGAAGCACCGGCUAACUACGUGCCAGCCGCCGCCGUAA
Molecule: ribosomal RNA, 499 nt
Filed under: uncultured bacterium
Lineage: Bacteria
Description: partial 16S ribosomal RNA
Rfam family: Bacterial small subunit ribosomal RNA
Source: RNAcentral